GAUGAACGCUGGCGGCGUGCCUAAUACAUGCAAGUCGAGCGAACGGACGAGAAGCUUGCUUCUCUGAUGUUAGCGGCGGACGGGUGAGUAACACGUGGAUAACCUACCUAUAAGACUGGGAUAACUUCGGGAAACCGGAGCUAAUACCGGAUGAUAUUUUGAACCGCAUGGUUCAAAAGUGAAAGACGGUCUUGCUGUCACUUAUAGAUGGAUCCGCGCUGCAUUAGCUAGUUGGUAAGGUAACGGCUUACCAAGGCAACGAUGCAUAGCCGACCUGACAGGGUGAUCGGCCACACUGGAACUGAGACACGGUCCAGACUCCUACGGGAGGCAGCAGUAGGGAAUCUUCCGCAAUGGGCGAAAGCCUGACGGAGCAACGCCGCGUGAGUGAUGAAGGUCUUCGGAUCGUAAAACUCUGUUAUUAGGGAAGAACAUAUGUGUAAGUAACUGUGCACAUCUUGACGGUACCUAAUCAGAAAGCCACGGCUAACUACGUG
This 497-nucleotide ribosomal RNA is filed under the name uncultured bacterium. RNAcentral's name for it is "partial 16S ribosomal RNA". It matches the Rfam family "Bacterial small subunit ribosomal RNA", at positions 28 to 507 of the family's 1533-position model. The record is from RNAcentral.